UCCGCCCGUCCGCGUGCCA
Molecule: unclassified non-coding RNA, 19 nt
Filed under: Mus musculus (house mouse)
Lineage: Eukaryota; Metazoa; Chordata; Mammalia; Rodentia; Muridae
Description: oocyte_clustered_small_RNA173
Source: RNAcentral